GUUGGAUUAUUUUUUAAAUUUGCUUAUGCUAUUUAUCCUUAGAGACUUGUUAUGCUGUCGAUGAACUGUUUGUCAUUGUUUUCCUCUACAAUACAUAGAUAUAAUAAUACCCAAAUUUACAAGUGAUCAAGUACAGAACUUAUUAUGCUGUUAUGCUAUCGGCCUUGAGAUUAGUUCUGUAAAAGGGAUCAUUUCUGCUCAAUUUGCAACCUUUUUUAAUUUGUGAUUUAAUAUUUCUAUAUUUCUAUCACGAUUUUUAUUAAAUUAUUAAAUAUUAUUGAAAUAUUCUCG
Molecule: long non-coding RNA, 291 nt
Filed under: Gossypium barbadense (sea-island cotton)
Lineage: Eukaryota; Viridiplantae; Streptophyta; Magnoliopsida; Malvales; Malvaceae
Description: long non-coding RNA (GBAR_LNC000167)
Source: RNAcentral